AGAACUUUCCAGAGAUGGAUUGGUGCCUUCGGGAACUCUGAGACAGGUGCUGCAUGGCUGUCGUCAGCUCGUGUUGUGAAAUGUUGGGUUAAGUCCCGCAACGAGCGCAACCCUUAUCCUUUGUUGCCAGCGGUUAGGCCGGGAACUCAAAGGAGACUGCCAGUGAUAAACUGGAGGAAGGUGGGGAUGACGUCAAGUCAUCAUGGCCCUUACGAGUAGGGCUACACACGUGCUACAAUGGCGCAUACAAAGAGAAGCGACCUCGCGAGAGCAAGCGGACCUCAUAAAGUGCGUCGUAGUCCGGAUUGGAGUCUGCAACUCGACUCCAUGAAGUCGGAAUCGCUAGUAAUCGUGGAUCGGAAUGCCACGGUGAAUACGUUCCCGGGCCUUGUACACACCGCCCGUCACACCAUGGGAGUGGGUUGCAAAAGAAGUAGGUAGCUUAACCUUCGGGAGGGCGCUUACCACUUUGUGAUUCAUGACUGGGGUGAAGUCGUAACAAGGUAAGCGUAGUGCU
RNAcentral lists this ribosomal RNA (517 nucleotides) under uncultured bacterium. Its description in RNAcentral is "bacterial SSU rRNA". It matches the Rfam family "Bacterial small subunit ribosomal RNA", at positions 992 to 1509 of the family's 1533-position model. The record is from RNAcentral.